This is an RNA transcript of Elephantulus edwardii (Cape elephant shrew), 1350 nucleotides long. It is a transcript of the gene named tubulin beta-2B chain-like, with no coding region annotated. The record is from RefSeq and is a predicted model, not a curated record. Lineage: Eukaryota; Metazoa; Chordata; Mammalia; Macroscelidea; Macroscelididae. The transcript has a single exon.
AUGCGUGAGAUUGUGCACAUCCAGGCUGGCCAGUGUGGCAAUCAGAUUGGCGCCAAGUUUUGGGAAGUAAUCAGUGAUGAGCAUGGUAUCAACCCCACCGGCAGUUACCAUGGCGACAGUGACUUGCAGCUGGAGAGAAUCAAUGUCUACUACAACGAAGCCACUGGUAACAAAUAUGUACCUCGGGCCAUCUUGGUGGAUCUGGAACCUGGCACCAUGGACUCCGUCAGGUCUGGGCCAUUUGGCCAGAUUUUCAGGCCAGACAAUUUUGCAUUUGGCCAGAGUGGUGCCGGCAAUAACUGGGCAAAGGGCCACUACACAGAGGGGGCAGAGCUGGUGGACUCAGUGCUGGAUGUGGUGAGGAAGGAGUCCGAGAGCUGUGACUGUCUCCAGGGCUUCCAGCUGACCCACUCGCUGGGUGGCGGUACGGGGUCUGGGAUGGGCACACUGCUCAUGAGCAAGAUCAGGGACGAGUACCCUGACCUUAUCAUGAACACCUUCAGCGUCAUGCCCUCUCCCAAGGUGUCAGAGACUGUGGUUGAGCCCUACAAUGUCACCCUCUCUGUCCACCAGCUGGUGGAGAACACAGAUGAAACCUACUGCAUUGACAAUGAGGCGCUGUACGAUAUUUGCUUCCGUACCCUGAAACUGACCACCCCAACAUAUGGAGACCUCAACCACCUGGUGUCAGCCACCAUGAGCGGAGUCACCACCUGCCUGCGUUUCCCAGGCCAGCUGAACGCAGACCUCCGCAAACUGGCCGUGAACAUGGUGCCCUUCCCCCGGCUGCACUUCUUCAUGCCUGGCUUUGCGCCCCUGACCAGCCGGGGCAGCCAGCAGUACCGGGCCCUGACUGUGCCCGAGCUCACCCAGCAGAUGUUCUACUCCAAGAACAUGAUGGCCGCUUGUGACCCGCGCCACGGCCGCUACCUGACAGAGGCUGCCAUCUUCCGGGGCCGCAUAUCCAUGAAGGAGGUGGACGAGCAGAUGCUGAACGUACAGAACAAGAACAGCAGCUACUUCGUGGAGUGGAUCCCCAACAACGUGAAGACAGCUGUGUGUGACAUCCCACCCCGUGGGCUCAAGAUGUCAGCCACCUUCAUUGGCAACAGCAUGGCCAUCCAGGAGCUGUUCAAGCUUAUCUCCGAGCAAUUCACAGCCAUGUUCCGGCGCAAGGCCUUCCUGCACUGGUACACGGGCGAGGGCAUGGAUGAGAUGGAGUUCACUGAGGCUGAGAGCAACAUGAACGACCUGGUGUCCUAGUACCAGCACUACCAGGACGGCACAACUGAUGAGCAAGGGGAGUUUGAGGAGGAAGAGGGCGAGCAUGAGGCUUAAAUUCAGAACUGA